Nerophis ophidion (straightnose pipefish) is the source of this 715-nucleotide long non-coding RNA. RefSeq lists it as uncharacterized. Lineage: Eukaryota; Metazoa; Chordata; Actinopteri; Syngnathiformes; Syngnathidae. The record is from RefSeq and is a predicted model, not a curated record. The transcript is spliced from 2 exons.
ACAUCUCCACGUAUCAGGUAUCAGGCAGCGCACAGGGUGUAAAUAAGGACGGUCACACUGGCAUUCACGGACACUCGCUCCUCGCUCAGCAGCUGUGAUGAGAGACUUUGCCCUUUUGCCUCGAGAAAAGGCCACGUCUGACACAGUCAUAUUUCACAGCUGUUACACACUGGGCAACAUGCGUGUGUACACAGCAAACAAGCACCUCCAAACACUGACGACAUAUUUCAUGGCGGCAGCUGUCAUGCAGAUCAUUCAAAAACUGGAUAUAACGAGGCCUACAGUACAUGCUUACGCCCCCUAGUGGUUGUGAGCAGUAAAGGGGUGACAUCAGGGUAGGGGGUCCGGUCCGUUGGCCACGGAUGAGGUGCUGGCUGUCCUGAGUCGGGACCCAGGAUGGACCGCGCGUCCAGAGCCCGGGGCCCAGGAUGGACCGCUUGCCUUUGUAUCGGCUGGGACAUCUCUGCGCUGCUGAGCCGCCUCCGCUUGGGACGGUUUCCUGUUGGCUCCGCUGUGGACGGGACUCUAACUGCUGUGUUGGAUCCACUUUGGACUGGACUCUCACGGUUGUGUUGGAUCCACUAUGGCAGUGGUUCUCAACCUUUUUUCAGUGAUGUACCCUCUGUGAACAUUUUUUUAAUUCAAGUACCCCCUAAUCAGAACAAAGCUUUUUUGGUUGAAAAAAAGAGAUAAAGAAGUAAAAUACAGCACUAUG